RNAcentral lists this ribosomal RNA (847 nucleotides) under uncultured bacterium. RNAcentral's name for it is "bacterial SSU rRNA". It matches the Rfam family "Bacterial small subunit ribosomal RNA", at positions 102 to 965 of the family's 1533-position model. The record is from RNAcentral.
ACGGGUGAGUAACGCGUGAGUAACCUGCCCUAGAGUGGGGGACAACAGUUGGAAACGACUGCUAAUACCGCAUAAGCCCACGGUACCGCAUGGUACUGAGGGAAAAGGAUUUAUUCGCUUUAGGAUGGACUCGCGUCCAAUUAGCUAGUUGGUGAGGUAACGGCCCACCAAGGCGACGAUUGGUAGCCGGACUGAGAGGUUGAACGGCCACAUUGGGACUGAGACACGGCCCAGACUCCUACGGGAGGCAGCAGUGGGGGAUAUUGCACAAUGGGGGAAACCCUGAUGCAGCGACGCCGCGUGGAGGAAGAAGGUUUUCGGAUUGUAAACUCCUGUCGUUAGGGACGAUAAUGACGGUACCUAACAAGAAAGCACCGGCUAACUACGUGCCAGCAGCCGCGGUAAAACGUAGGGUGCAAGCGUUGUCCGGAAUUACUGGGUGUAAAGGGAGCGCAGGCGGGAAGACAAGUUGGAAGUGAAAACCAUGGGCUCAACCCAUGAAUUGCUUUCAAAACUGUUUUUCUUGAGUAGUGCAGAGGUAGAUGGAAUUCCCGGUGUAGCGGUGGAAUGCGUAGAUAUCGGGAGGAACACCAGUGGCGAAGGCGGUCUACUGGGCACCAACUGACGCUGAGGCUCGAAAGCAUGGGUAGCAAACAGGAUUAGAUACCCUGGUAGUCCAUGCCGUAAACGAUGAUUACUAGGUGUUGGGGGAUUGACCCCCUCAGUGCCGCAGUUAACACAAUAAGUAAUCCACCUGGGGAGUACGACCGCAAGGUUGAAACUCAAAGGAAUUGACGGGGGCCCGCACAAGCAGUGGAGUAUGUGGUUUAUUUCGAAGCAACCCGAA